GAAGAGCUGAACUGCGUGGCUCGAAUUGCGGGGCCUGGGUUCACCUGACAAAAGAGGGUUUCCACCAGGGGGCGCAAGGAGUCAGCGUUAGUUCACAAUAUCCAUUAGGGGGCGCUUUUGCCGCCUCUGGCGGUCUAGGGUUGGGGAGCCAACCGCAGCUUCGCCCCGCCUGAUUGGGAGAGGCACCACUAAACUAUUUGCAUACUCUUGAAAGGGCUGCGCUGAGUAGUUGAGGUAUAGAAGAAAUCUGAAACGGGCUCUCUCAUUGGCUUAAGUUCCCCCUUGUUCCGAGUCCCUUUCCCGGCCAAUCCCCGCCCGGAGGUCAGUCCGAAGCCUAGGCUAGUGGCGAGAGCAGACCCAGGUGUCCGGACAUUGGGCGCUGCAGGGAGUUUAAGAUGUGCAUCUAGAGAGGCACUGCCACCCUUGCCACCUGCCCUUCCAUCCACACACCGAGGUCCUCUCCAUCCACUCUGGUCCCGCCCACUCUACCUUGGGGUAGAAAAAGGAGUCUCCUCAGUCGCAGCUUCUGACCUCCCGGCUACCUCACUCAGGCAUCUAAAGAGCUUAGUUUGCCCCUCCAGAAAGUGGAUCAGUGGCUUACAGAGGCGUGCGCCGGGGAAGGGAGGGGUACACAGGCGGCCUGCUCACACACAGGCUUGUUCGUGCAGAGUGGCUCAAAAGUAGAGCUCCAGGGCUCAGCUGGGUAUGGGUACCAAGAAUGAAAGUCCAGAACCCAACUGCCAGAAACAGUUCCAGGCUGCAGUCAGCGUCAUUCAGAACUUACCUAAGAAUGGCUCUUACCGCCCGUCUUAUGAAGAGAUGCUGCGAUUCUACAGCUACUACAAGCAGGCUACAGUGGGGCCCUGCUUGGUCCCCCGGCCUGGAUUCUGGGACCCUAUUGGACGUUAUAAAUGGGAUGCCUGGAACAGCCUGGGCAAGAUGAGCAGGGAGGAGGCCAUGUCCGCCUACAUCACUGAGAUGAAGCUGGUGGCACAGAAGGUGAUCGACACGGUGCCCCUGGGUGAGGUGGCAGAGGACAUGUUUGGUUACUUCGAGCCCCUGUACCAGGUGAUCCCUGACAUGCCGAGGCCCCCGGAGACCUUCCUGAGAAGGGUCACAGGUUGGAAAGAGCGGGUGUUGAAUGGAGAUCCUGGAGCUUCCCCAGAGCCUCCUUGCCUCCCCAAGGAACCAGCCCCUCCAAGUCCAGACGCCGAGACCUCCUGUGCUCCGGAAGGCCAAGGGACAGGUUCCAGGGCCUCUCUCAGGGAUCCAUCUGUGCCCCUUGUGGCAGUAUCUCUAAUGUCCCCUGAACAGAGUCCCAGCCACCCAGGGACCUGGACUCUGAGGUUUUCUGUGAUUCCCUGGAGCAGCUGGAGCCUGAGCUGCAGGUUGAUGCAGAGCAGAGGGGCGCCCUUGGAGGAGAGCCCGAUACCAGAAACAGCCCCGUGUCCACCACAGAGAAAGAAAAUUUGGGAAGCAGCCUGCUGGGACCCCAGGAAUUGGACACAUGGCUGAUGGGGACAGUUCAGGCGCUGCAGGAGAGCAUGCAGGAUGUCCAGGGGAGACUGCAGAGCCUGGAGAGCAUGCCCAGCCCCCCUAGGCAGAGGCCCCCACCCAGGCCUUGGCCCCUCAGGCUCUCCGGUCCGGCGCUGCUCUUCUUUCUCCUGUGGCCUUUCAUCGUCCAGUGGCUCUUCCGACAGUUUCGGACCCAGAAGAGGUGACUCUCAGUGGAGGGGUCUCUGCAGCCAGCUGAGGAGGCUAUGAGCCCCCUGUCCUGCUGUGCCCUGAGCCUUCUUAGAGCCAUCCCCCUUGCCGCUCCAAUUAGUGUUUGCCUUGGCAUCCCUCCCCUUAUGGGGGGCCGGAUUAGACCCCACUCUUCCUGCAGCUUCACUGGGACUCCCUCUCCCCUCUCCCCCAACCACUUCAGGCUCCCUGGGGAGGCUGCAGUUGUGGUGCUUGGCCCGGUUAUGGGUUGGCCGGUGACUCCGGGGCGGGGCUGCUGGGUCUCAGCGUCGGCCCUCCCAACUCUCUGGGUCAUCUGACUCCUCUCCCACCCUAGCCGUUCCCCGAGGAGGCUCAGCUCUUGGGCAAGUUGGAACUUGGGCCCGGGCCUGGAAGAAUGAUUGGCUGGGAGGCUGUGGGAGGGAGGCCAGGAGGCCCGGCCGAGUUGGGAAAAGGCGGAGAGAGUUGGCCCUGGGGGAGGGGAGUCAGCUCCGUUUUGCUGGCCGCCCUACCCCCACAAAUACUCAGGACGUCUUCACUAAAGAUUCACUUGCAAAUGAAUGUUUCACUAAAUAAAAUAAAACCUUUAUCUUCUGCC
Molecule: non-coding RNA, 2320 nt
Organism: Vicugna pacos (alpaca)
Lineage: Eukaryota; Metazoa; Chordata; Mammalia; Artiodactyla; Camelidae
Source: RefSeq, a predicted model, not a curated record